CACGUAGGGGGCAAGCGUUGUCCGGAAUCAUUGGGCGUAAAGAGCUCGUAGGCGGCUCAGUAAGUCGGGUGUGAAACCUCCAGGCUCAACCUGGAGACGCCACCCGAUACUGCUGUGGCUAGAGUCCAGUAGGGGAGUGUGGAAUUCCCGGUGUAGCGGUGAAAUGCGCAGAUAUCGGGAGGAACACCAGUGGCGAAGGCGGCUCACUGGCCCGGUACUGACGCUGAGGUGCGAAAGCGUGGGGAGCAAACAGG
Molecule: ribosomal RNA, 254 nt
Filed under: uncultured bacterium
Lineage: Bacteria
Description: partial 16S ribosomal RNA
Rfam family: Bacterial small subunit ribosomal RNA
Source: RNAcentral